AUAAUAUAACAGAUGGUGCAUUAUUCUAGUUAUACUAAUUACUAUGAGGGUGGGGCUAAAAAUCCACUAAAGGGCAUAUCGUUGAAGUUUCUUGUUUGUGCGCGGGAUGCCAGUUUUGCGUAUUUUCAGGGAGUAUAGAAAUUAGGGCGAUAUGUAACGGCAUACAUAUUAACCCCUGGUUUUGCGGAGACUUAAAUAGAAGUUUAAGUGUAACCUAUGUCGAGUGCCAAGACACAAAACAUAGUGUAGCCUGUUUUGAGUGAAAGUAUUGGGAUUAUUUUAACGGAGUAAAUAAAAUCCGGCCAAAUUUUAUUUGUUCUUGAUAUGAAAUUUCUUUUGCAAAAGAAACUAGUAGUAAUUUAAAGUAUAUUAAGGAAAACUUCUAGAAUGUUUGCCAUUUAGGCAUGAAAGUCUAAGGAUUAAGGUACGGAUUUGAGUGGUGAUCUGGUGGCUGCUAUUUAUAUAGUGGAUGUUCUCUUGAAAUGGAAACGGCUAAGGCAGUAAUGCCAAGUAGAGAAUAGAGAAAUUCGACUAGACCUAAACCGUAAAAUUUACUUAGACUUUACCAUCUUAAACUAUA
Molecule: small RNA, 580 nt
Filed under: human gut metagenome
Source: RNAcentral